Molecule: long non-coding RNA, 554 nt
Filed under: Capra hircus (goat)
Lineage: Eukaryota; Metazoa; Chordata; Mammalia; Artiodactyla; Bovidae
Description: lncRNA (ENSCHIG00000007065.1)
Source: RNAcentral
AAGGAGUCCUGCAGGGGGAUAUGUAAACAAGCAAGGAUGUCUUCAGGAGGAUCAGUGGAAGAGGAUGUCGAGAAAGAGCUGCUGCACUCAGAGAGUGACUGGGCGUACAUGGAGGACAAGAAAGUGCAGAGAGAAAGGAGGGAAAAGCAGGCUCCAGACAGCGUGGAGAGGCACCAGAUUAACCCUGAGGAACUGGCUCCAGACCAGACUCUUUUGUAUGAGAUAAGGAAAUUCUUCAGCAGCCUCAAGAAUUUUUCCAUUGAACCCAGGGAUCAGCCUUUGAGUUUCCUAACAAGGAGAGAAGAAAGACUGGGUUCAUAUCACUCACAAUUCUCUUCCAAGAACUUGACAGACUUUGGCGCAGAAUGGAAGCUACUGUUUAUCUUUUGCACAGAAGAGGAGAGCUUAAGCGCUGUCCUGUCAGCUCCACAUGGGGAGAGUCUGGCCUUGAACUCAGGUCCCACAGGUAAACAUCACAGCGGGCUCCUCCUCUCCAGGAAAGCAGCCUCCAUCCAAGUAGACUUGAUUGGGGUAGACUAAUAGCUGUCAUUUAA